AUGGCUGGCUUGGAAGGUUUUGAGUUCUUCGAGAUCGUAAUUGAGAAAUCUUGCAGUAGGCAGAGGCUGCCUGACAAGUUUGCGAAGAUGCUCGCCGGCCGUGAGCCCCACAAAGUGAAGCUGCGGGAGGCCGGCAGCGGGCUUCACAGGCUGUGGGAAGUGUUGGUGGUGUUUGAUGGUGAAGGCCACAUGUACCUAGGGCCCGGCUGGGAGCAUUUCGGCCGCGCCCAUGAGCUACAGCUCGGGUACUUCCUUGUCUUCCGCUACGACGGCAAUGCCAUGUUCACCGUGAAGAUGUUCGACAACACCAUGUGCCGCAUGUACUACCAGCACGACGACGAUGCCAGCAAUGGGAGCAGCAGCGGGGAUGACGAGGAGCAGAGCGGGGAUGACGACGAGGAGCAGAGCGGGGAUGACGAGGAGCAGAGCGGGGAUGACGUGGAGUAG
RNAcentral lists this ribosomal RNA (447 nucleotides) under Triticum aestivum (bread wheat). RNAcentral's name for it is "partial small subunit ribosomal RNA". Lineage: Eukaryota; Viridiplantae; Streptophyta; Magnoliopsida; Poales; Poaceae. The record is from RNAcentral.